AGGUACAGAGGAUGGUAACCACACAGCCAGUGACCUCGAUGACAGGGUCAGGUUCCACCAGCAUCUAGAGUUGACCAGGGUGGAUUGCUUGGCUAAGCCUCUGUUUGCUGAUAAUGGAACUGUUGGCUCUUGGUGUCCUCGAGUCUGGGACAGGCUCGUCUGCUGGGACUCGGCUGCUCCUAACACGACGGUGUUCCUCCCGUGUCCGAAGUAUGUCAAGGAGUUCAACCACAAGGCCUCGGCGUGGAGACGGUGUGGACAAGAUGGUACUUGGGAGUCUCAGCCUAUGCCAGAAUCAGCCUCCAACGAGACUGAAAGAUAUAGUUCACAUAGGGUGGACGAACUACAGCGCUUGCUUGAACUCCAAAGACUUCA
Macrobrachium nipponense is the source of this 375-nucleotide long non-coding RNA. RefSeq lists it as uncharacterized. Lineage: Eukaryota; Metazoa; Arthropoda; Malacostraca; Decapoda; Palaemonidae. The transcript is spliced from 3 exons. The record is from RefSeq and is a predicted model, not a curated record.